CCUACGGGAGGCUGCAGUGGGGGAUAUUGCACAAUGGGGGAAACCCUGAUGCAGCGACGCCGCGUGAGUGAAGAAGUAUUUCGGUAUGUAAAGCUCUAUCAGCAGGGAAGAAAAUGACAGUACCUGACCAAGAAGCCCCGGCUAACUACGUGCCAGCAGCCGCGGUAAUACGUAAGGGGCAAGCGUUACCCGGAUUUACUGGGUGGAAAGGGAGCGUAGACGGGUAUGUAAGUCUGGAGUGAAAGCCCGGGGGCCAACCCCGGGACUGCUUUGGAAACUGUGUAACUGGAGUACAGGAGGGGCAGGCGGAAUUCCUGGUGUAGCGGUGAAAUGCGUAGAUAUCAGGAGGAACACCGGCGGCGAAAGCGGCCUGCUGGACUGAAACUGACGUUGAGGCUCGAAAGCGUGGGGAGCAAACAGGAUUAGAUACCCGGGUAGUC
RNAcentral lists this ribosomal RNA (440 nucleotides) under uncultured bacterium. RNAcentral's name for it is "partial 16S ribosomal RNA". It matches the Rfam family "Bacterial small subunit ribosomal RNA", at positions 338 to 795 of the family's 1533-position model. The record is from RNAcentral.